GGGCGAUUAGCUCAGUUGGUAGAGUAUCUCCCUUACAAGGAGGAGGUCACUGGUUCGAGCCCGGUAUCGCCCACCA
Molecule: transfer RNA, 76 nt
Filed under: Providencia stuartii
Lineage: Bacteria; Pseudomonadati; Pseudomonadota; Gammaproteobacteria; Enterobacterales; Morganellaceae
Description: tRNA-Val (TAC) (tRNA-Val-TAC-2-1)
Rfam family: tRNA
About the family: Transfer RNA (tRNA) molecules are approximately 80 nucleotides in length.
Source: RNAcentral